GUUUUCUUGAGAUAGCUGUAUGUGUGUUUUUUUGGAGGUGGUGGUUAUCAGUUGUGAGUUUGGAAGCUUUGGUUUGCAGCUUGUAGUUUGGUUGGUUUGUUGCUAGGUUUGCAUGUAGGAAAGGAGAAGGAGAAGACAGUCAUCUGGUUUAGCUUUGGAAUUAGUAACUUAGGGGUACUUUCGCCGAUCACCAUGAUGGUCGCCAACCCUUAACGGCUAUAAGAGAGUGAGAUCGACCGUUGAGCUUUACGGUUCUGCUCUCCUCACUGGUCACUGUCUGUCUCUCCCUUCAAUUUCAAUGGCUUGAGUUUUUUAGUGCGUCAAAUAUUUCCUAGCUUGGUCAAUUUGUGGUGGCUUUGGGUGGCCUCUGUUUGGUUUUCUUCAACUUACUAAACCACCAUUGGAGAGACCCCUGCAAGCUGCAACUAGGAGGGCUUGCCUUUUCGAGUGGAUAACCCAAAUAACCUAGGGUUUUCUUCUUUUGGGUCCUAUGGGCCUAGUUGUUUUUGAUAAGCUAGGUUUAAGGGUUUGAUGAGUUUCUUCUGUUAAGGGGCUUUGGGUCUUAUUAGGUGAACUACGGAUGGAUUAGCUACUUCAUGUAAUUAGCCUUGAGCCCUGAAUUUGUAGAAUCUUUUAUGCAAUGGAAUGCCCA
RNAcentral lists this unclassified non-coding RNA (652 nucleotides) under Hevea brasiliensis (rubber tree). The record is from RNAcentral. Lineage: Eukaryota; Viridiplantae; Streptophyta; Magnoliopsida; Malpighiales; Euphorbiaceae.